GCUAAGAGGGAACGCAUCUCUUCGGUAGCGUCCUCCUCGAUCAGAAGGCAGAGGCAAAAAGACGAGUCGAGAUAUCGUUUCAGUCGCCACUCCACCCGUUGGCGGUUCGAUUGUUGCUCGACCACAC
This 127-nucleotide small nucleolar RNA is filed under the name Musa acuminata subsp. malaccensis (wild Malaysian banana). Its description in RNAcentral is "Small nucleolar RNA snoR111". It matches the Rfam family "Small nucleolar RNA snoR111". The record is from Rfam by way of RNAcentral. Lineage: Eukaryota; Viridiplantae; Streptophyta; Magnoliopsida; Zingiberales; Musaceae.